This 1384-nucleotide ribosomal RNA is filed under the name uncultured bacterium. Its description in RNAcentral is "bacterial SSU rRNA". It matches the Rfam family "Bacterial small subunit ribosomal RNA". The record is from RNAcentral.
AGAGUUUGAUCCUGGCUCAGGAUGAACGCUAGCGGCAGGCUUAACACAUGCAAGUCGAGGGGCAGCACGGGUAGCAAUACUUGGUGGCGACCGGCGCAAGGGUGCGUAACGCGUAUGUAAUCUGCCAUUAACCGGGGAAUAGCCCAGAGAAAUCUGGAUUAAUGCCCCAUAGUAAUAUUAAAGGCAUCUUUAAUAUUUUAAAGCUUUGGUGGAUACGGAUUGGCUCGCGUGACAUUAGCUAGAUGGUAAGGUAACGGCUUACCAAGGCUACGAUGUCUAGGGGUUCUGAGAGGAUGAUCCCCCACACUGGUACUGAGACACGGACCAGACUCCUACGGGAGGCAGCAGUGAGGAAUAUUGGUCAAUGGGCGCAAGCCUGAACCAGCCAUCCCGCGUGAAGGAUGAAGGUCCUAUGGAUUGUAAACUGCUUUUAUACACCAAGAAAAACACCCACGUGUGGGUGCCCGACGGUAGUGUAUGAAUAAGCAUCGGCUAACUCCGUGCCAGCAGCCGCGGUAAUACGGAGGAUGCAAGCGUUAUCCGGAUUCAUUGGGUUUAAAGGGUGCGUAGGCGGCUUUUUAAGUCAGUGGUGAAAUCCUGCCGCUUAACGGUAGAAUUGCCAUUGAUACUGAUAGGCUAGAAUAUGGUUGCUGUGGGUGGAAUGUGUGGUGUAGCGGUGAAAUGCUUAGAUAUCACACAGAAUAUCAAUUGCGAAGGCAGCUCACAAAGCCAUUAUUGACGCUGAGGCACGAAAGUGUGGGGAUCAAACAGGAUUAGAUACCCUGGUAGUCCACACCGUAAACGAUGAUAACUCGCUGUCGGCGAUAAACAGUCGGUAGCCAAGCGAAAGCGAUAAGUUAUCCACCUGGGGAGUACGACCGCAAGGUUGAAACUCAAAGGAAUUGACGGGGGCCCGCACAAGCGGAGGAACAUGUGGUUUAAUUCGAUGAUACGCGAGGAACCUUACCCGGGCUUAAAUGUAGAGCGACAGAUUGUGAAAGCAGUCCUUCUUCGGACGAUCCUUACAAGGUGCUGCAUGGUUGUCGUCAGCUCGUGCCGUGAGGUGUCGGGUUAAGUCCCAUAACGAGCGCAACCCUUAUCGUUAGUUGCCAGCGGGUCAAGCCGGGGACUCUAGCGAGACUGCCACCGUAAGGUGUGAGGAAGGUGGGGAUGACGUCAAAUCAGCACGGCCCUUAUGUCCAGGGCUACACACGUGUUACAAUGGCCGAUACAAAGGGCAGCUACCAGGUGACUGGAUGCUAAUCUCCAAAGUCGGUCUCAGUUCGGAUCGAAGUCUGCAACCCGACUUCGUGAAGCUGGAUUCGCUAGUAAUCGCGCAUCAGCCAUGGCGCGGUGAAUACGUUCCCGGGCCUUGUACACACCG